RNAcentral lists this non-coding RNA (128 nucleotides) under Clunio marinus. Its description in RNAcentral is "Eukaryotic large subunit ribosomal RNA". It matches the Rfam family "Eukaryotic large subunit ribosomal RNA", at positions 2710 to 2836 of the family's 3401-position model. The record is from Rfam by way of RNAcentral. Lineage: Eukaryota; Metazoa; Arthropoda; Insecta; Diptera; Chironomidae.
CAAAAGCUGGCUUGAUCUUGAUAUUCAGUACGUAUCGGGACGGCUAAUGCCUGGCCUUACGAUCCUGUUGGCUUUAAAGAGUUUUUAACAAGAGGUGUCAGAAAAGUUACCACAGGGAUAACUGGCUU